UGUGAAGAGUGAAUGAAAACUUUCUUUGUCUAUCAAUCAGCAACUUUUAAAUUAAUCAAUCAAAAACUUGAGCACCCCUAAUUAACACUAAGUAUGAGAGUUCACAAGUCACUUGCCAGAAUGGGUAACAACUCCAGAGGACAAUGCCAACCCCCUUGGGCAAUGCUAGGCAAAUUGAAAGUCUGCAAUUGGUUCCCAUAAAGUGGAAGAAGGGACAGGAAGUGGCAUGGAAAAAGGACUAUAAAAAAUCCUGAACUUCCUGUUCAAGGGACUUCUUCACCUUUUGGAGAGUUUGGCUUCUUGGACUUUGACUUCGACUUCACUUUUGGAGUUCUUGGGAAUUUGGUUUUUUUGGACUUCGCCUUGGUGAGCUGCAUUGGUGAGCUGGACUGAAGGAAGAGACUCUUUCCCUGGAUCCUACGUUGGCUUGCUGGAGUGAUCCAAAUUCAAUGGCGAGACAAAAGACAAGGAUGACUACAGAUGGCCUGGGAUGCAGUGGAUGACCUUGGCCUCUUUGAUGUCUGAACAAACUCCAAUCUCUCCGCAGUGCCUACUUAUGUUGCUUUCAUGGCUAUUGGAACAAAUUGUUCUUAUUUGCCAAUUCUACAAGGGGAAGUCUUCAUAUAAUUGGGGCAGAAGUCCCCUUAACUCACCAAGAGGUUUGAGAGUCAUCAAAGUUCAGUGGCAAGAAAAAAGUCAAGACUACUGAUGAUGGCCAGGAGGCAGUGGAUGACCUUGGCAUCUUUGAUGUCUGACGAAGCUCUAAGCUUUCUCCAAUGUCUAUUUCAGCUACCUUCAUGGCCACUGGCACGCAUUGUUUUCAUUUAUCCAUUCUGCCAGGGGAAGUCUUCAUGCGCUUGUGGUAGACUUUCCACCAACUCACUGACGGAUUUGAGAGCUGCUGGCUUCCCUCAACUUCGUUUAGUCCAUCCACUGAGAUGGUUUUACUGGGGAGGAAAUGCUGAUUCUACUGCCUGCUGCAAAAUACACAUGAUGUUCUCCUUUGACUGCUUCCUGAUACCCCAGCUGCUGGCUGCAAACCUCUGCAGCCUGCUUGCCGUUUUCUAUGCAUGCUUGCCGUACCAAGUUCUCCAGAAGGGGUAAGUGGAGAGAGGGAAACGCCAGUUACUAAGACAAGGAAGGGUGCCUAGGCUGAGACGCUAACUUGUGUGGAAACCCAGCAUUCCUUCUGGACAACAACCAUCAGGUCCCAGCCAGGAAAGCGCUUGGAGUCCACCCUGUUUCCAAGUUUCUAAGUGCCCUGGAGGGUGUGCAAAUAGAAAUGGGAUACACCUGAACUACAUUUGCCCAGCAUCCUUUUAAGUUACGUCCUCACUUUGCAUCCUGACAUUUGGGAGAGAAAGUUUGCUGAAACCCACGCUGCGGAGCUUUCUGGGUUUUUGCUUUGGUAAAGCGCUGCAGGUGAGAGUCUGGCUCUGUGCUCUACUCACUCGGCAGAAGGAACACCGUUCUCUCUCUCUCUUUGUUGUUAUUAAAUCCUAUA
Molecule: long non-coding RNA, 1504 nt
Filed under: Monodelphis domestica (gray short-tailed opossum)
Lineage: Eukaryota; Metazoa; Chordata; Mammalia; Didelphimorphia; Didelphidae
Description: lncRNA (ENSMODG00000034974.2)
Source: RNAcentral